ACGGAAGGCAGCAGUGGGGAAUAUCGCGCAAUGGGGGCAACCCUGACGCAGCAACGCCGCGUGAAGGAUGAAGGUUUUCGGAUUGUAAACUUCUUUUAUUAAGGACGAACAAUGACGGUACUUGAUGAAUAAGCUCCGGCUAACUACGUGCCAGCAGCCGCGGUAAUACGUAGGGAGCAAGCGUUAUCCGGAUUUACUGGGUGUAAAGGGUGCGUAGGCGGCUUGGUAAGUCAGAUGUGAAAUGUAUGGGCUCAGCCCAUGCACUGCGUUUGAAACUAUUGAGCUUGAGUGAAGUAGAGGUAGGCGGAAUUCCCUGUGUAGCGGUGAAAUGCGUAGAGAUAGGGAGGAACACCAGUGGCGAAGGCGGCCUACUGGGCUUUAACUGACGCUGAGGCACGAAAGCGUGGGUAGCAAACAGGAUUAGAUACCCUGGUA
This 435-nucleotide ribosomal RNA is filed under the name uncultured Oscillospiraceae bacterium. RNAcentral's name for it is "bacterial SSU rRNA". It matches the Rfam family "Bacterial small subunit ribosomal RNA", at positions 341 to 792 of the family's 1533-position model. The record is from RNAcentral. Lineage: Bacteria; Bacillati; Bacillota; Clostridia; Eubacteriales; Oscillospiraceae.